CCUACGGGGGGCAGCAGUGGGGAAUAUUGGACAAUGGGGGGAACCCUGAUCCAGCCAUGCCGCGUGUGUGAAGAAGGCCCUCGGGUUGUAAAGCACUUUCAGUGAGGAAGAACGCCUGGUGGUUAAUACCCAUCAGGAAAGACAUCACUCACAGAAGAAGCACCGGCUAAUUCCGUGCCAGCAGCCGCGGUAAUACGGAGGGUGCGAGCGUUAAUCGGAAUUACUGGGCGUAAAGCGCGCGUAGGUGGCUUGAUAAGCCGGUUGUGAAAGCCCCGGGCUCAACCUGGGAACGGCAUCCGGAACUGUCAAGCUAGAGUGCAGGAGAGGAAGGUAGAAUUCCCGGUGUAGCGGUGAAAUGCGUAGAGAUCGGGAGGAAUACCAGUGGCGAAGGCGGCCUUCUGGACUGACACUGACACUGAGGUGCGAAAGCGUGGGUAGCAAACAGGAUUAGAUGCCCCUGUAGUC
RNAcentral lists this ribosomal RNA (465 nucleotides) under Vreelandella stevensii. RNAcentral's name for it is "partial 16S ribosomal RNA". It matches the Rfam family "Bacterial small subunit ribosomal RNA", at positions 338 to 795 of the family's 1533-position model. The record is from RNAcentral. Lineage: Bacteria; Pseudomonadati; Pseudomonadota; Gammaproteobacteria; Oceanospirillales; Halomonadaceae.